GGAUAUAAGGGUGAUCUGAAUACGACAUCUCUCACCCCAUUGAUCACCAGUGUUGAUUCAGCUGGUCUGGCCUAUGUGGGUGUUCCCUUCCUACUUCAGUGCUCCAUGUGCAAUGUGCAUUCCUCCUGAAGCUGCAUGCUGGGUCAAAGAGGAUGACCUUCCCCCAAUAGAGGACUAGUCUUCGGUCAAGGGUAUACAAGUAGUUGUGCUCCCUGCUAGAACCUCCAAACAAGAUCUAGUCGUCCAACUGUCCUAGUGCAUUGUCUUCAGAUGUGUUGUCCCCAGUGUGAAUACAUCUUACUUUUUUGUUGUGUGACAAAAUUUCCUA
RNAcentral lists this small nuclear RNA (328 nucleotides) under Jaculus jaculus (lesser Egyptian jerboa). RNAcentral describes it as "7SK RNA (ENSJJAG00000002098.1)". It matches the Rfam family "7SK RNA". From Rfam's summary of the family: 7SK was discovered as an abundant small nuclear RNA in the mid-70s but a possible function has only recently been suggested. Two independent studies have found that 7SK RNA binds the CDK9/cyclin T complex (known as elongation factor P-TEFb). The record is from Rfam by way of RNAcentral. Lineage: Eukaryota; Metazoa; Chordata; Mammalia; Rodentia; Dipodidae.